This 253-nucleotide ribosomal RNA is filed under the name uncultured bacterium. RNAcentral describes it as "partial 16S ribosomal RNA". It matches the Rfam family "Bacterial small subunit ribosomal RNA", at positions 524 to 776 of the family's 1533-position model. The record is from RNAcentral.
AACGUAGGAGACAAACGUUAUCCGGAGUUACUGGGCGUAAAGGGCGUGUAGGUGGUUAUGUAAGUCUGGCGUGAAAUUUUUCGGCUUAACCGGGAAAGGUCGUCGGAUACUGCACAACUAGAGGACGGUAGAGGCGUGUGGAAUUCCGGGUGUAGUGGUGAAAUGCGUAGAUAUUCGGAAGAACACCAGUGGCGAAGGCGGCUCACUGGACCGGUAUUGACGCUGAGGUGCGAAAGCGUGGGGAGCAAACAGG